GGGGUUGUAGCUCAAUGAUAGAGCGCUCACCUAAUCUGUGUGAGGCACUGGGUUCAAUCCUCAGCACCACA
RNAcentral lists this transfer RNA (71 nucleotides) under Marmota monax (woodchuck). Its description in RNAcentral is "tRNA.Ile". It matches the Rfam family "tRNA". From Rfam's summary of the family: Transfer RNA (tRNA) molecules are approximately 80 nucleotides in length. Their secondary structure includes four short double-helical elements and three loops (D, anti-codon, and T loops). The record is from RNAcentral. Lineage: Eukaryota; Metazoa; Chordata; Mammalia; Rodentia; Sciuridae.